GACGAACGCUGGCGGCGUGCUUAACACAUGCAAGUCGAACGGUAAGGCCCUUCGGGGUACACGAGUGGCGAACGGGUGAGUAACACGUGGGUGAUCUGCCCUGCACUUCGGGAUAAGCCUGGGAAACUGGGUCUAAUACCGGAUAGGACCAUUGCCUGCAUGGGUGGUGGUGGAAAGCUUUUGCGGUGUGGGAUGGGCCCGCGGCCUAUCAGCUUGUUGGUGGGGUGAUGGCCUACCAAGGCGACGACGGGUAGCCGGCCUGAGAGGGUGACCGGCCACACUGGGACUGGGAUACGGCCCAGACUCCUACGGGAGGCAGCAGUGGGGAAUAUUGCACAAUGGGCGCAAGCCUGAUGCAGCGACGCUGCGUGAGGGAUGACGGCCUUCGGGUUGUAAACCUCUUUCAGCAUCGACGAAGCGCAAGUGACGGUAGGUGCAGAAGAAGGACCGGCCAACUACGUGCCAGCCGCCGCGGUAA
RNAcentral lists this ribosomal RNA (478 nucleotides) under uncultured bacterium. RNAcentral's name for it is "partial 16S ribosomal RNA". It matches the Rfam family "Bacterial small subunit ribosomal RNA", at positions 28 to 523 of the family's 1533-position model. The record is from RNAcentral.